AGAAAAUUUUAUAUUAGUUUAUUAAUUAAGUGUUAUUUUUUAUUAUAUGUAAAUUAUUUUUAAAAAAUAUGGUUGCAGUAAUUUAAUUUAAAUAUUCAAGUAAUUGAGAUUUAGGAAUAAUAAAAAAAUAUAAACAAAAUUUGUGCCAGCAGUUGCGGUUAUACAAAUUAUAUAAUUUAAUUUAUUUAAUUUUAAUUAAUUAAUAAAAAAAUUUUAUAUUAUAAUUUAUUUAGUGAAAUUUUAAAUUAUAAUAAAAUUUUAAUAUUAAAUGUAUUAAGAAAUUUUGAAUAUAAACUAGGAUUAGAUACCCUAUUAUUUAAAAAGUAAUUAAUUAAAUUAAAUUAGUAUUAGUUAUGUUCUUGAAAAUUAAAAAAUUUGGCGGUAUUUUAGUCUUUUCAGAGGAACCUGUUUUAUAAAUGAUAGUCCACGAUUUAAUUUACUUUUUUUAUUAAUUUAUAUAUCGUCGUAAUUAAUUAUUUUUAAAGGAUUUAAAUAUUUAAAAUUUUAGUUAAAAAAGAAUUCAGAUCAAGGUGUAGUUUAUAAAAAAGAAAAAAUGGGUUACAUUAAAUGUUAUUUAAAGAUUUAUAUUAUUAUUAGUAUAUUAAAUUUGGAUUUGAAAGUAAUUUUAAUUAAUUUAUUAAAAUGAUUUGUGCUCUAAAAUAUGUACAUAUUGCCCGUCGCUUUCAUUUAAAAUGAAAUAAGUCGUAACAAAGUAGAUUUACUGGAAAGUGAAUCUAGAUUCAA
This 744-nucleotide non-coding RNA is filed under the name Psylliodes affinis. The record is from RNAcentral. Lineage: Eukaryota; Metazoa; Arthropoda; Insecta; Coleoptera; Chrysomelidae.